Molecule: unclassified non-coding RNA, 546 nt
Filed under: Hevea brasiliensis (rubber tree)
Lineage: Eukaryota; Viridiplantae; Streptophyta; Magnoliopsida; Malpighiales; Euphorbiaceae
Source: RNAcentral
UAUGAGACUGUUUUUGGUUCUGUUCCUUCUAGGUGGGAGGUUGAGAAGGCCAUGUCUGAUCUCCAAAGUUUCAAUUAUGCUCCAAAAGAAGAGAUGAAUUGGGCUGAACCGAUGCUGGUGAAAUCACCUGGAAAUGCAAGAUUUUAUGAUGCUCUUUAUAUGCUUCAAAAUGAACCAUCAAUUCAGAGAUUGGUUUGUUCCAUAGCUUGUGAUAGAGCUGUUUGGGAAGCCAUGAUGAGCAACAAGGCAGUUCAAAAUCUUCAAGGCUCAGUCAUAUCUGCAGCUAAAGUAGAAGAAUCACAAAGCUCAACUGGGGAUAUCGGAUCCCUCAUAGUGAAAUGGAUUAUGGGCAUCACAACUUCCAGAAUCGCGGAGCUGCUCCAAUCAUUUGGAUCAUUAUUAAGUGAAAUAAUCCAUGAUAUAUUUGAACCAGACAAUAAAGAAAAACCCACAUCAGAACUCUCUGACCUCAUGGAAGAGAAGAUUAGAUCCUCUUUCCUUUUAUCAGUUGUUUUGUUGUUGAUUGUGGUCGUCACAAGAACCCAA